RNAcentral lists this ribosomal RNA (334 nucleotides) under uncultured bacterium. RNAcentral's name for it is "bacterial SSU rRNA". It matches the Rfam family "Bacterial small subunit ribosomal RNA", at positions 568 to 898 of the family's 1533-position model. The record is from RNAcentral.
GGCGUAGGUGGCCUGACAAGUCGGAUGUGAAAUCUCCCGGCUUAACUGGGAGGGGUCAUUCGAAACUGUUGGGCUAGAGGGCAGCAGAGGGAAGUGGAAUUCCCGGUGUAGUGGUGAAAUGCGUAGAUAUCGGGAGGAACACCAGUGGCGAAGGCGGCUUCCUGGGCUGUUUCUGACGCUGAGGCCCUAAAGCAUGGGGAGCGAACAGGAUUAGAUACCCUGGUAGUCCAUGCUAUAAACUAUGGACACUAGGUAUGGGGAGUAUCGACCCUCUCUGUGCCGAAGCUAACGUCUUUAAGUGUCCCGCCGUGGGGACUACGGCCGCAAGGCUAAA